This is a long non-coding RNA of Gorilla gorilla gorilla (western lowland gorilla), 356 nucleotides long. RefSeq lists it as uncharacterized. The record is from RefSeq and is a predicted model, not a curated record. The transcript has 3 exons. NCBI's taxonomy places the organism in Eukaryota, Metazoa, Chordata, Mammalia, Primates, Hominidae.
GCGGCCCGCCUGCCUGCCCGCCGCUGGCAUUGGGCACGUCAUACAGUGCCCAGUAGUGAAGCUGGACGGGCUGGGGGCUCCAGGAGAGCCCGCGCCUGACUCUCCAGGGCUUUCCAUGGCUGGGAGCUCCUUCGCUUCAGGAAGAGAAUCCAGUCCCAAGGCAAGGCACGCACAUCCCCAGGCCGCCUUGAGCAAGAGGACUUGUGAGCCAACUGCGAUCCAGGGACCCUGGGCUGAAGAUGGGGGAGACUUGGUGAGCAGAGAACUCCUAGGCCUGCAGAUGGCAGAGCUGCUGCCAGGGUGGGGGGCCCUGAGGUGGGGCAGGUCACGUGGGCAGCAGCGGCCCCCACCUUUUU